UCCGGUUUAACACCGGCAGUCUCUCUAGAGUCCCCAACUUAAUGCUGGUAACUAGAGACAAGGGUUGCGCUCGUUAUCGGACUUAACCGGACAUCUUACGACACGAGCUGACGACAGCCAUGCAGCACCUAUCUCCGCGUCCCCGAAGGGAACCAACCAUCUCUGGCUGUAGCACGGGAUGUUAAGGGUAGGUAAGGUUCUGCGCGUUGCUUCGAAUUAAACCACAUACUCCACCGCUUGUGCGGGCCCCCGUCAAUUCCUUUGAGUUUUAGCCUUGCGACCGUACUCCCCAGGCGGGAUACUUAAUGCGUUAGCUUCAGUACUCAGGAUUUUAAGGUCCCAAACACCGAGUAUCCAUCGUUUACGGCGUGGACUAC
Molecule: unclassified non-coding RNA, 377 nt
Filed under: uncultured Oligoflexaceae bacterium
Lineage: Bacteria; Pseudomonadati; Bdellovibrionota; Oligoflexia; Oligoflexales; Oligoflexaceae
Description: contains 16S-23S intergenic spacer region
Source: RNAcentral